This 1413-nucleotide ribosomal RNA is filed under the name Triticum aestivum (bread wheat). RNAcentral describes it as "partial small subunit ribosomal RNA". Lineage: Eukaryota; Viridiplantae; Streptophyta; Magnoliopsida; Poales; Poaceae. The record is from RNAcentral.
AUGGACUUUAAGCUCUAGUUGCUUGAAGCUAUUACAAACAAAUUUUCAGAGGAUCAGAGAGUUGGCAGCGGCGUGUAUGGAGAUGUUUAUAGGGCGGUGCUUAAUGGGGAAGACAUUGCUGUGAAGAAACUCCAUUACUUACGAGGAUUUGAUGAUGGGCAAUUUCACAGUGAAUUCUGUCACCUUAUCAAGGUCUCUCACAAAAAUGUUGUACGCUUAAUUGGCUACUGCCACGAAUCUCGGAAGGAAUACAGGGAUCACAAUGGGGAAACUGUUUUUGCCAAUAAAAUGGAGAGACUUCUCUGCUUUGAAUAUAUACAUGGCGGGAGCGUCGAUAAACAUAUUGCAGAUGAAUCUUGUGGUCUUGAUUGGCCCACAUGUUACAAAAUCAUUAAAGGGACAUGUGAGGGCUUAAAUCACCUUCACAACUCGUGCAAUAAGCCUAUUUUCCAUCUGGAUUUGAAAACUUCUAACAUAUUGCUGGAUAAUAGCAUGAAGCCAAAAAUUUCAGAUAUUGGUUUAUCCAAACUUAUUAAUACGACAGAAACAUGUAAAAAAGAGAUAUUCAGAGGAACACACAGGUACAUGCCACCGGAAUAUGUAGACAUUGGCUUUAUAUCAAACAAGUACGACGUGUUCAGUUUGGGCGUUAUAAUUAUAAAAAUGAUGGCUGGAAAUAUGGGCUAUUCUCGUUGUUUCAAAAUGUCUCCCAAAGAGUUCAUUGAGCUUGUAAGUGAAAGCUGGACUAAAAGGUUGCAUGCAAAGCCAGGGUAUUCACCAUACGAAAUAGACAUCCUACGACUGAGUACAUGUGUUGAGGUUGCGCUAAGAUGUCUGGACGCCGACCGAGAAAAAAGGCCCUGUGUAGAAGAUAUUGUCCAUGAACUGGGGGAACUAGAAUCUAGGAUUAAGACAAUAAUGUUACUACCUUAUGAUCAUAGGAAGAAGCUCUUGCCUAACCUGGGCCUUGGCCAGUACUCUGCAAAAAGUACCAGGAUAUAUAUGUCCCAUAAGUUGGCCCAUGAUGGAGCAGUUGCUGCAUAUAAAUCUGAUUGGUCCAGGCUUGAUUCUCAGUCAGACCCCACUGGUACUGCUCAUGGUCAGUCGAAAGACCUAAGUAUCCAGGUAUAUACAUCUAUGGAGACCGGUGCAGAUUAUAAUUACUAUAUAUCUUACUUUGUACCGAUUUAUUCCAGUCUUAAUUGUUUACUUAGUGUGCUAUUACUAGUUAUGGAAAUCGUGGUGAACGACCCUACAUGCUGUUGGUGGCCUAGAGGCUGGCAUAGCCCUGUGAUUCGCACAAAUGAACCAUCAAUUUGGCAGAACACAUUGAAUCUUGUAGUUGUUUGCUUAUAUGCCUCACAACAGAACAUAAGUUUGGCUUAUUUUCCAUUACAGUUAACGUCCCGUUAA